RNAcentral lists this long non-coding RNA (614 nucleotides) under Elaeis guineensis (African oil palm). Its description in RNAcentral is "long non-coding RNA (EGUI_LNC024070)". Lineage: Eukaryota; Viridiplantae; Streptophyta; Magnoliopsida; Arecales; Arecaceae. The record is from RNAcentral.
GCUGCUGGGUGGACUGAUUCUAUCGUAUCCUCUAGCACCUAUCAGAGUACUCCUCAAUACUCCACUUAUCGCAGAGGGCCUCCCAUAUAUCCAUCCACAUCUAGUGAUCUGUAUAAGACUUUCAAUCUGAUGGUGACUUGAAACUGGAGACUCAGAACUAGAGUGCUUUACAGUGAACUACUGAAAGCUGUACAGCUCAUCUUGAAAUCUCUAUGUGGCCACCUUCUCGAAGGUCCGACAGUCAGUCUCUUCAUCUUGAGGAGUCUCGAAUUGAUAGUACCCUUGUAAGUAGAAAUAACUGUGUAUUAAUAAAUAGAAUACAAAUCUAUCGUACAUUUAAAAAUUAAACAUCUUUGUUUUACUAAGAACAUCUUCCAGGUUGCACCACGAGCCCCCGAUGGCCAACUGAAGAACUCAUUCACCAGCUCCAAUAUCAAUUGUUAGAUGAUAUCGAUAACCACACGAGGCACCCCAGACUCUGUAAAUGUGCUGUAAAAUUUAUUUUGAACAAUAAAUAUUAGACUCUAAAAUAGCUAAAAUUUAAAUAUAUUCAGUGAAGAUAUAUAGUACUUACGUGCAACUUAGAACAUGGACGAGCUCACUAUCCUCCAGUC